UGGGGCUCCUGGGUGUGACAGGUGUUAGGGCUCCUGGGUGUGACAGGUGUUGGAGCUCCUGGGUGUGACAGGUGUUGGGGCUCCUGGGUGUGACAGGUGUUAGAGCUCCUGAGUGUGACAGGUGUUGGGGCUCCUGGGUGUGACAGGUGUUGGGGCUCCUGGGUGUGACAGGUGUUGGGGCUCCUGGGUGUGACAGGUGUUGGGGCUCCUGGGUGUGACAGGUGUUGGGGCUCCUGGGUGUGACAGGUGUUAGGGCUCCUGGGUGUGACAGGUGUUGGGGCUCCUGGGUGUGACAGGUGUUGGGGCUCCUGGGUGUGACAGGUGUUAGAGCUCCUGGGUGUGACAGGUGUUGGGGCUCCUGGGUGUGACAGGUGUUGGGGCUCCUGGGUGUGACAGGUGUUGGGGCUCCUGGGUGUGACAGGUGUUGGGGCUCCUGGGUGUGACAGGUGUUGGGGCUCCUGGGUGUGACAGGUGUUAAGAGCUGGGUGUGACAGGUGUUGGAGCUCCAGGGUGUGACAGGUGUUGGAGCUCCAGGGUGUGACAGGUGUUGGGGCUCCUGGGUGUGACAGGUGUUGGAGCUCCAGGGUGUGACAGGUGUUGGGGCUCCUGGGUGUGACAGGUGUUGGAGCUCCAGGGUGUGACAGGUGUUGGAGCUCCAGGGCGUGACAGGUGUUGGAGCUCCAGGGUGUGACAGGUGUUAGGGCUCCUGGGUGUGACAGGUGUUUGGGCUCCUGGGUGUGACAGGUGUUAGGGCUCCUGGGUGUGACAGGUGUUAAGAGCUGGGUGUGACAGGUGUUAAGAGCUGGGUGUGACAGGUGUUGGGGCUCCUGGGUGUGACAGGUGUUGGGGCUCCUGGGUGUGACAGGUGUUAGGGCUCCAGGGUGUGACAGGUGUUAGGGCUCCAGGGUGUGACAGGUGUUAGGGCUCCAGGGUGUGACAGGUGUUGGGGCUCCAGGGUGUGACAGGUGUUAGGGCUCCUGGGUGUGACAGGUGUUAGGGCUCCAGGGUGUGACAGGUGUUAGGGCUCCAGGGUGUGACAGAGCACCCCGGUGCUCUACUGAUUUAAGAAGCGCCAAACCAAUCUUAAGAUUAAUCAGUGCAGCUAGACAAGUAGCUGUAAUUGUAGACAUUUUUUAUACAAUUUAGAAACUUUAUUAUGUAUAUCUUAAAAAAUAAUUUUGUUAAUACAUUUUGUCAUUUGCAUUGUUUGUAGUUUUUGUCAAUUUCAUAUCUUUUA
Procambarus clarkii (red swamp crayfish) is the source of this 1237-nucleotide non-coding RNA. The record is from RefSeq and is a predicted model, not a curated record. NCBI's taxonomy places the organism in Eukaryota, Metazoa, Arthropoda, Malacostraca, Decapoda, Cambaridae.